UACGUAGGGUGCGAGCGUUAAUCGGAAUUACUGGGCGUAAAGCGCGCGCAGGCGGUUCGUUGUGUCGGCGGUGAAAGCCCCGGGCUCAACCUGGGAAUGGCCGUUGAAACUGGCGAACUGGAGUGUGGCAGAGGGGGGUGGAAUUCCGCGUGUAGCAGUGAAAUGCGUAGAGAUGCGGAGGAACACCGAUGGCGAAGGCAGCCCCCUGGGCUGACACUGACGCUCAGGCACGAAAGCGUGGGGAGCAAACAGG
Molecule: ribosomal RNA, 253 nt
Filed under: uncultured bacterium
Lineage: Bacteria
Description: partial 16S ribosomal RNA
Rfam family: Bacterial small subunit ribosomal RNA
Source: RNAcentral